UUGCCAGACUCCUACGGGAGGCAGCAGUGGGGGAUAUUGCACAAUGGGGGGAACCCUGAUGCAGCGUCGCCGCGUGGGUGAAGAAGCGCCUCGGCGCGUAAAGCCCUGUCAGCAGGGAAGAAAAUGACGGUACCUGAAGAAGAAGCCCCGGCUAACUACGUGCCAGCAGCCGCGGUAAUACGUAGGGGGCAAGCGUUAUCCGGAUUUACUGGGUGUAAAGGGAGCGUAGACGGUUAUGUAAGUCUGGAGUGAAAGCCCGGGGCCCAACCCCGGGACUGCUUUGGAAACUGUGUAACUGGAGUACAGGAGGGGCAGGCGGAAUUCCUGGUGUAGCGGUGAAAUGCGUAGAUAUCAGGAGGAACACCGGCGGCGAAGGCGGCCUGCUGGACUGAAACUGACGUUGAGGCUCGAAAGCGUGGGGAGCAAACAGGAUUAGAUACCCGCGUAGA
Molecule: ribosomal RNA, 449 nt
Filed under: uncultured bacterium
Lineage: Bacteria
Description: bacterial SSU rRNA
Rfam family: Bacterial small subunit ribosomal RNA
Source: RNAcentral